This is a long non-coding RNA of Mauremys reevesii (Reeves's turtle), 1243 nucleotides long. RefSeq lists it as uncharacterized. The transcript has 4 exons. Lineage: Eukaryota; Metazoa; Chordata; Testudines; Geoemydidae. The record is from RefSeq and is a predicted model, not a curated record.
GUUAAGUAUCUGCUGGAGGGUUUGAUGGUCAAAAAGUAUGUGUGCUGUUGAGGCUGUAGGAUGGGAGUCCUCUGAAGCCUGCCUGUUUGUAAUGGGUUCAUGAGGCAACUCAUUGAAUAGGAGUGGGAGUUUUCUGUGGAGGAAGUUGACUGAUGGAAGAGUGACCUGUCUGUAACUAGAGAUGCUCCAUUCUCCCUUCUUCUCUCAUAAAUGGCACUGGGUUUGCAUCACUGAUCACCACUAUCCUGUUUGUCCGUCCUCUAUUGGGUGUUGGUUUUCUGAGGAGGAUGUGGGCAUCCUAGUUACCGAUGGGCCCCUGUCAGUGUUGGGAAAGGGCCAUGAGUACUGUGUAAAUGUGAGUAUUUUGCAUGUUGAUUUUAAAUGUAUAGAAGUAGUUGGUUGCUGCUUCAUUGUAGGUAGGAAUGUGCUGGGGCUCUUUCGGGGUGUCAAAUAGGUUAGUUUAGCCAAGGGAGUGUGGUAUUGUGGUGUUGUGACCAUUAGCAAUAACCUGGCAUUUAUUGUUUGUGUGCCACAGGGGUAUUUGAGUCCAGAACUGAGGGAAUGGGCUGUAGCAAGUGUGCCCUGUUUGGUUUACAUGGGUUCUUGUAAGUAUGGUGCCAGUGGGCACAGAGGAGCUGUUUGCAUCCAUGAGAUCCUUAAGAGGCUUCAAGAGGUGCAGUUUGUGAAAGAAGGAUAGAUGUGAGGCCCCAUCUGGUGGAAAAAGAAUUUUGUCUGAAGAUGGGGGUCCAGUUGGGCAAAGAACAAGUGAAGUAGACGUAUGCCUGUAGGGGACAUGAAGUACUUAUUCUCAAAAUGGAAGUGGAUUUGAUGUCACGUUUGCAAGUUAAGAAUCCACUUUCCGACCACAGAGAUGGAAAUAUCAGCAUCUCCGGAGAAGACUUUGCUCCAAACAACGCACACCAAUCGGGCUUUGAUAUUGUAUUAUUUGGGUCAAGAUGUGAAGUGUUGUCUGUUUGAUGGCUAGAAUGUAGUAGAGCAGUGGGGCUGAUGUCACUGUGUUCUGGUAGAUACCUGAGCAAUUAUAUCAUGAAAUGCCAUUAUUGUCAUUUCUGUGAUUCGAAUUGGAGAGGGUGGGUUCAUUUGUUUGGUCAGUUACAGGAACAUCACCACAUAAGUACUUGCACAAAAUGCAAUUGUUUUCCGAAAUGAAUGGUUUGUUUGCCACUUGGAAUGUUCUAGCCAUCAAAGUUGCAAGAGGACACAGUUUGGGAUGCCCCAAGAA